CCACGCCGUAAACGAUGAGUGCUAGGUGUCGGGAGUCAAAUCUCGGUGCCGCAGUUAACGCAAUAAGCACUCCGCCUGGGGAGUACGUACGCAAGUAUGAAACUCAAAGGAAUUGACGGGGACCCGCACAAGCGGUGGAGCAUGUGGUUUAAUUCGAUGCAACGCGAAGAACCUUACCCGGUCUUGACAUCCUAGGGAUGUUCUAGAGAUAGGACAGUGCCUUCGGGAGCCUAGAGACAGGUGUUGCAUGGCUGU
RNAcentral lists this ribosomal RNA (255 nucleotides) under uncultured bacterium. Its description in RNAcentral is "partial 16S ribosomal RNA". It matches the Rfam family "Bacterial small subunit ribosomal RNA", at positions 795 to 1052 of the family's 1533-position model. The record is from RNAcentral.